RNAcentral lists this unclassified non-coding RNA (328 nucleotides) under Hevea brasiliensis (rubber tree). The record is from RNAcentral. Lineage: Eukaryota; Viridiplantae; Streptophyta; Magnoliopsida; Malpighiales; Euphorbiaceae.
UGUUGAGCUAAUAAUCUCUGCAAUUUAUAAUAAACCCUCAAUUGAAGCCAUGGCAGGAAAAGAAUUUUGAGAAUACACCAAUCUAACCGAUCCUAAAGAUAAGAAAUUUGGUAAAGGGAAGGACAAGAUAGAUGGCGAGGAGGUCACUUUCCAACGCAUUGUUUCCAAGGGAUCCUGGCUUUUCCUACUGGGUGCUUGACAUGUUUAGAUGCAAGAGGUUGCUGUGAAACAUGGAGGUUACCUUCAUGGAAGAGGCGGUAUAGAUUCUUGCUCACAAUAAUUGCUUCCUCCUUUUGGUACAUUAGUUUGUCCAUAUAAUGAAAAUGUG